AUUGAACGCUGGCGGCGUGCUUAACACAUGCAAGUCGUGCGGUAACAGGCGUAGCAAUACGUGCUGACGAGCGGCGAACGGGUGCGUAAUACAUGGGAAUCUGCCUUUUAGUGGGGAAUAACCCGGCGAAAGCCGGGCUAAUGCCGCAUAAGAUCUUCGGAUGAAAGCGGGGGAUCGUAAGACCUCGCGCUGAUAGAUGAGCCCAUGCCGGAUUAGCAGUUGGUGAGGUAACGGCUCACCAAGGCGACGAUCCGUAGCUGGUCUGAGAGGACGGCCAGCCACACUGGGACUGAGACACGGCCCAGACUCCUACGGGAGGCAGCAGUGGGGAAUAUUGGACAAUGGGGAAACCCUGAUCCAGCGAUGCCGCGUGAGUGAAG
Molecule: ribosomal RNA, 380 nt
Filed under: uncultured bacterium
Lineage: Bacteria
Description: bacterial SSU rRNA
Rfam family: Bacterial small subunit ribosomal RNA
Source: RNAcentral